Molecule: transfer RNA, 67 nt
Filed under: Tarragoilus diuturnus
Lineage: Eukaryota; Metazoa; Arthropoda; Insecta; Orthoptera; Prophalangopsidae
Description: tRNA-Gly
Source: RNAcentral
AUUUAUUUAGUAUAUAAAAGUACCUUUGACUUCCAAUCAAAUUGAUUGAUUUUAAUCAAAAUAAAUA